AAUAACAUGAGUAAUGAAUAGGUACUUAUUGGCACUUCUCCAGAGGAACUAGUCUUUAAAGUAAUACUUAAUGCACUGAAGUUAAUGUGAAUAAUUUAUACAUUACGUGAUACUUCUACAAUUUUUAUUCUACUAUGGAGGGACAGUUAAGCACCCAAAAGGUGCGGGAUGGUACCGUGGUAACCCAACAAUAGCCAGACAUCGAUUUCAUUCUUAGCUGACACAUUUCCUUAAGCCAUCAGGUUUAAAAAGGAACGUCUGGAUUCAGAUACAGAAAGUAACAUGGUAGACAUGUACAUAUUUAAAGCAAGUGGAAACCUUUAAAAGAACGAACAACCAAACUAAGAAUUAUGUGCACAUCAUAGGAUAUUGACGUCAAUGGAAACAAAAUGUUUAUACUAGUUGGUCGCAGGGAUAUUGAUGAAAAAGUUAAAAGACAUUCAGUGAUAGGGAUGAAGUGGAGGCCUUAUCGAUAAACAAAGAGUCCUCAGUUCAGGAAAUGGUACAGCCCUGAGAGUAUUUUGAAAGUUAAGAAAGGUGAAAUGUAUAAAGUGAGAUUUCAUGAAGAUGUUCCUAGUAAGUCCGGAAUAUGGCUCGUAUUCGAAGAAAAAAUGUGAUUGUUUGUAAAAGCAGUUUACAUGAAAUAUAGUUUGAGCUUUUAAUCAAAAUGUUGUUCUUUCUUUAUAUUCAACGGAUGUUUUUUUGUAGUGCAAGUUAGCAUAACCUUAAAAAGAGAUGCAGGUAAACCUGUGUUAAAGACCACCUCUGAACAGAGGCCACCUGACUGUAAAGACCACAUGUUUUUUUUCCAGUUUUAACAUUUAUUUAGCCUGUGACUACCUCCAAAUAAAGACCACAUUUUGGCUCUACCUAGUCUUGUCUUUAUAGACAGGUUUGAAAGUAUAUGUAAAAGUACACUCGAAGUUUUAUCUAGCAUUAGUGCAGUGACUGACCCAUAAAUUUUGGUCUGUCCGUUUGUCUCUCUGUAUGUCACAAAGUUUAAAUGUGCAUAUCAUGUGAAACAGCAAUGCGGAUUCACACCAGUUCAUUGUUUUGUGAUCAGAGUUUUAUAAUACUUUAUAUUCUAAUGGGCCCGCUUUUACCAAACUUUACAUGACUGGCCAGUGCCUAUAAUUUUCAUUGGAGUUAUGGCCCUUAAUUUGUCAUAUCUUACCCCGUAUUGGCAAGCUCAUUUUAAGCGAUAUCUAUAUACUAGCACGUGUUUAUACCAAGCUGCGAAAUCUCUAUAUUCAUGUAGUUAUC
Molecule: long non-coding RNA, 1263 nt
Organism: Mercenaria mercenaria
Lineage: Eukaryota; Metazoa; Mollusca; Bivalvia; Venerida; Veneridae
Exons: 6
Source: RefSeq, a predicted model, not a curated record